This 1196-nucleotide long non-coding RNA is filed under the name Homo sapiens (human). RNAcentral's name for it is "hepatocellular carcinoma up-regulated long non- coding RNA". The record is from RNAcentral. Lineage: Eukaryota; Metazoa; Chordata; Mammalia; Primates; Hominidae.
GAGACGCUAGGCCGGCACUGCCUAGGUGGGCCGGGCGGUGCGAGGGUCGCCUUUCAGCCUUUACCUCUACCCACUGAAAUGGAGUAGGUCGGUGAGCGCCGAUCUGCUGGAGAAUCUCAUUAUCCCAUCGGCGCUCUGCCUGCUCCUGGCCUCCAAGCCUCUGAAGCCCCUCGGGUUUCAGCUGCCGGCUACCCUCGAGCCCGUGGUGCCCACGAGAGAGGCGACUUUACGUCAGCGGCCCUGGGCUGAGAUUUGAGAACGCGACCAAGUGGAGAAUGUUGGAGCCAGAUUUUAAAAUCCUUGUCUUCCUUCUGCGUGCUACUUGAUCUAAAUGAGAUACGGCAAAGUCACAGAACCUGUUUUUAUGUUUUUGCCUGAUUCAUACGGGCUUCUCCGGUGAAGAUGGGCCUGAAGUAACGCUUGGGUUGCUUCUGACGUUAUAACUCAUCCUGUAGCUGCAGCAACCGUGGUCCUUGCAACCUCAUAAAAAUGUUGCCAGCAUUGUUUCGAUAGUGCUGCUUAAUUCUUGGAAGGUUCUUCGGACUUCACACAUUCCAGCAGUAGCUCUCUCAGCUCCUGUCCUGCACAGCUUUGAAGUGCUGAGAUGGGGUCUCCCUAUAUUGCCCAGGCUGGGCUUGAACUCCUGGACUUGAACGAUCCUCCAGCUUUGGCCUCCCAAAAUGCUGAGAUUACAGGCGUGAGCCACCAUGCUUGGCAGCUGAAGACACAGCCCUGGUGAUGGCUUUCUGAGGAUGACACGAUGGAGGCUUCUCCAAUAGCUCUAAAACUGCGGUGUGGAAAACAUUCGGCAGCCUCAAAGAGCGGUCUUGUUGACCCCAACUAUAUCAUUUUUCAUCAAAAUCAUUCUUGUAAAGAAUGACCAGGCAACACUCUUUGAAAAUUGGAGGCCAUUUGCAGCUGCUCUCUGUUGAGGAAAGUGAAUAAUAGGGUGCCCUCAAGGAAUUGCAAAGGUAUCACUCAACAGAAACUUUCGUGUCUGAAGAAAACUAGAUCAUUUUAUCAUGGUAGGCAUGCUGAUAUGUUUGCUUUAAUAAAAUGCCAUAUUUCUGCCUUUAAUCUCUUGUCAACCCGCUAUUAAAAAGCCCCAAAGUGCAUGUGUGCAGCGCAUGUAAACACUUGUGGUUUUGAGGUUACCACAGAACAUACUAAUAAAGCAUGUAAUUUGUGUUUUGUGC